RNAcentral lists this long non-coding RNA (1169 nucleotides) under Mus musculus (house mouse). RNAcentral describes it as "long non-coding RNA chr15:19932503-19933672". The record is from RNAcentral. Lineage: Eukaryota; Metazoa; Chordata; Mammalia; Rodentia; Muridae.
GAAAGAAAAGAAAAAAUGAAAAAAGGAAGAGAGGGAAGAAUGAAAAACUAUCAAUCAUAGGGCUUGACUAAAGUCUACAGAUAAAGAUCUGAUAUCUAGGAGGAAUUUAUCAUUAAAAGAAGACUAAAAAAUGCACCAUACUAAAUUCUGUGAUACUUAUUGAGUAAGCCAUGCAAUGUGAUGUAUCAUAAAUAUUUUAAGUCUGCAAGUUACAAUUAAUAUAAAAUUGGUUAUGUCUGUAUAUUAAGACUUUUAUUCUGAUCCCUAGCAUAUUCAAAAUGUGAAAAAUUUAUUUGAUUAAAUUGUCAGCUAAAUGUUUGGGGAAAUAAAUUCAACAGUCAGCUCAAAGGAAGAGGAUGCAACAUGGAAUAGCAAUAAUUCAUUUUUACCCAUGAGGUUUUAGGUGACUAAAGACAGAGAAUAAAUAUAAUUCAGUGUCUCCUAAAUCUAUGAGGGAUAGAAAGCAGAAGACCCCAAAGAAAAUAUGAAACUAUAUCAGUAUCUUAGUGUCUAGACAUACACUCUUGCAUUACAGCUAUUUGAGCAGGUUAAGCCAUGAGAUAAACCCCCUAUUGACUAAAACAUGCACAAAUCAAAUCCAUAAAUAGGUCAUCUCUCCCCAGUAAAAAGCAUUUGUUAAUAAAGAUACAGAUAACAAAUACUGCAUAGGAAAUAGAGUAAAUUCAAUAUGUAUAUGCUGAGUGGAAUGCAAAUUGAUUUAAAUAAAAAACAAUGUAGACUAACAUAUGAUUCAGUAGUCUCAUUUCUCAUUACUUAUCCAAGCUAAUGAAUAGAUAUUUACAUUCCAUAUAGGAUUAGAAUUAACAAUGCCUAAGAUCUAAAAACAUGUUAUUUUUCAACUGUUAAAAAGAGUGAGAAACUCUUGAAUGACUACACAGUGAAAUAUUCUUCAGCUACAGAAUGGGUGAAAUCCUUCAUGGGGAAUUGAGAUAAGUCUGUGCACUGAUGUAAGCUACUUACAGAAGAAUCCACUAUGUAUUACACUAUGGAUUAUUAAAAGAAUAGUCUUGCAGCUCUUCAGAAUAGAAUAGUGAUUGUCCCAGCCUGAGAAAAGAGAAGAGAAGUAUAGUAAAUCCCUAGGAAGUGAGUUAAAGUUAGAAAUUAACCCAAAGAUCAGGGUGUUAUUGAAUAGAAGGGUCGCUACCACU